UUAAUCAUACCAAAUUAUUCCUAGGAAAAGCAACAACCACAGUCUGAAUUUACAUUGAAACUUGGUCCGCACUGUACGUGAUUUAUUUACCGCAGGAACAGAGACAACAAGCACCACCCUGAGAUAUGGACUCCUGCUUCUCCUGAAACACCCUGAGGUAGCAGAAAAACUUCAUGAAGAAAUUGAUCGUGUGAUUGGUCGAGAUCGAAGUCCCUGCAUGGAGGACAGAAGUAAGAUGCCUUACACCAAUGCUGUGAUACAUGAGAUACAGCGAUACAUUGACCUCGUUCCCAGCAACCUGCCCCAUGCAGUGUCAGAAGAUAUUCAGUUUAGACAAUAUCUUAUCCCCAAGGGAACCACCAUCAUACCAUUACUGUCUUCUGUUUUGUAUGAUGAUGAAGAGUUCCCUAAUCCAGACCAGUUUGACCCAGGUCACUUCCUGGACUGAAGUGGCAACUUUAAGAAAAGCGACUAUUUCAUGCCUUUUUCAACAGGAAAACGGAUAUGUGCUGGUGAGAGUCUGGCUCGGAUGGAAUUAUUUCUGUUUUUUACUACCAUCUUACAAAAUUUUACCUUGAAAUCUCCCAUUGACUCAAAAGAUAUUGACAUCACCCCAGUUGCCAGUGGAUUAAUCAACGUACCCCCCUCCUAUGAGCUCUGCUUUCUACCUUCCUACAACAUGUGAAAGACCAGCCCUAGUUUCAACUGCUCUAGAGUCUCCUCAUGUUCUAUGAACAAGAUGUAUUCAUUUCAUUGCCUGCCAAUGAAAGCCCUCUAUGAUUUCCACCCAAUAUACUCUUCUAGCAUAAUCUAAUACUCCCUUUGACUUUUGCCAAAAUCAUGAUUUAAUUUCCCUCAAACUGCCCUAGAAAUUCCCUGUUGCUGGAAUAUUUCUUCUUUUUUCUUCAUUUCAACUCCACUGACUGAAAUCUUACCCACCCUUCAAAUCACAAUUUAGGUGCCAUAUCCCUGUGACCCCUUUAGUUCUUACAGUCUGUAUUAUUCAAUUUAAGCCUGAAUUAUAUAUGCAUCUUAUGUUGUGUGUUCUUUCAGAA
Non-coding RNA from Phascolarctos cinereus (koala), 1055 nucleotides. Lineage: Eukaryota; Metazoa; Chordata; Mammalia; Diprotodontia; Phascolarctidae. The record is from RefSeq and is a predicted model, not a curated record.